AGCCCGGCGAAAGCCGGAUUAAUACCGCAUACGACCUAUGGGUGAAAGCGGGGGAUCGCAAGACCUCGCGCUAUUGGAGCGGCCGAUGUCAGAUUAGGUAGUUGGUGGGGUAAAGGCCUACCAAGCCUACGAUCUGUAGCUGGUCUGAGAGGACGACCAGCCACACUGGGACUGAGACACGGCCCAGACUCCUACGGGAGGCAGCAGUGGGGAAUUUUGGACAAUGGGGGCAACCCUGAUCCAGCCAUGCCGCGUGCGGGAAGAAGGCCUUCGGGUUGUAAACCGCUUUUGUCAGGGAAGAAAUCCUUUGGGUUAAUACCUCGGAGGGAUGACGGUACCUGAAGAAUAAGCACCGGCUAACUACGUGCCAGCAGCCGCGGUAAUACGUAGGGUGCAAGCGUUAAUCGGAAUUACUGGGCGUAAAGCGUGCGCAGGCGGUUAUGCAAGACAGAUGUGAAUCCCCGGGCUCAACCUGGGAACUGCAUUUGUGACUGCAUAGCUAGAGUACGGUAGAGGGAGAUGGAAUUCCGCGUGUAGCAGUGAAAUGCGUAGAUAUGCGGAGGACACCGAUGGCGAAGGCAGUCUCC
This 587-nucleotide ribosomal RNA is filed under the name uncultured beta proteobacterium. RNAcentral describes it as "bacterial SSU rRNA". It matches the Rfam family "Bacterial small subunit ribosomal RNA", at positions 145 to 729 of the family's 1533-position model. The record is from RNAcentral. Lineage: Bacteria; Pseudomonadati; Pseudomonadota; Betaproteobacteria.